GAUGAAGAACGCAGCAAAAUGCGAUAAGUAAUGUGAAUUGCAGAAUUCAGUGAAUCAUCGAAUCUUUGAACGCACAUUGCGCCCGCUGGUAUUCCGGCGGGCAUGCCUGUUCGAGCGUCAUUUCAACCCUCAAGCCCCCGGGUUUGGUGUUGGGGAUCGGCUCUGCCCUUCUGGGCGGUGCCGCCCCCGAAAUACAUUGGCGGUCUCGCUGCAGCCUCCAUUGCGUAGUAGCUAACACCUCGCAACUGGAACGCGGCGCGUCCAUGCCGUAAAACCCCAACUUCUGAAUGUUGACCUCGGAUCAGGUAGGAAUACCCGCUGAACUUAAGCAUAUCAAUAAGCGGAGGA
This 348-nucleotide unclassified non-coding RNA is filed under the name soil metagenome. RNAcentral describes it as "partial contains 5.8S ribosomal RNA, internal transcribed spacer 2, and large subunit ribosomal RNA". The stretch from base 1 to 120 matches the Rfam family "5.8S ribosomal RNA", at positions 35 to 154 of the family's 154-position model. The record is from RNAcentral.